CCUACGGGUGGCUGCAGUGGGGAAUAUUGGACAAUGGGGGGAACCCUGAUCCAGCCAUGCCGCGUGUGUGAAGAAGGCCCUCGGGUUGUAAAGCACUUUCAGUGAGGAAGAACGCCUGGUGGUUAAUACCCAUCAGGAAAGACAUCACUCACAGAAGAAGCACCGGCUAACUCCGUGCCAGCAGCCGCGGUAAUACGGAGGGUGCGAGCGUUAAUCGGAAUUACUGGGCGUAAAGCGCGCGUAGGUGGCUUGAUAAGCCGGUUGUGAAAGCCCCGGGCUCAACCUGGGAACGGCAUCCGGAACUGUCAAGCUAGAGUGCAGGAGAGGAAGGUAGAAUUCCCGGUGUAGCGGUGAAAUGCGUAGAGAUCGGGAGGAAUACCAGUGGCGAAGGCGGCCUUCUGGACUGACACUGACACUGAGGUGCGAAAGCGUGGGUAGCAAACAGGAUUAGAUACCCGUGUAGUU
Molecule: ribosomal RNA, 465 nt
Filed under: Vreelandella stevensii
Lineage: Bacteria; Pseudomonadati; Pseudomonadota; Gammaproteobacteria; Oceanospirillales; Halomonadaceae
Description: partial 16S ribosomal RNA
Rfam family: Bacterial small subunit ribosomal RNA
Source: RNAcentral